Non-coding RNA from Ktedonobacter racemifer DSM 44963, 80 nucleotides. The record is from Rfam. NCBI's taxonomy places the organism in Bacteria, Bacillati, Chloroflexota, Ktedonobacteria, Ktedonobacterales, Ktedonobacteraceae.
GGAGGUGUGGUGCAGCGUCAGCAUGCGCCGUCUUCGCAAGGCGGAUGGCAGACACCAGGUUCAACUCCUGGUCACCUCCU